GACGAACGCUGGCGGCGUGCCUAAUACAUGCAAGUAGAACGCUGAAGGAGGAGCUUGCUCUUCUGGAUGAGUUGCGAACGGGUGAGUAACGCGUAGGUAACCUGCCUGGUAGCGGGGGAUAACUAUUGGAAACGAUAGCUAAUACCGCAUAAAAUUGAUUAUUGCAUGAUAGUCAAUUAAAAGGUGCAAUUGCAUCACUACCAGAUGGACCUGCGUUGUAUUAGCUAGUUGGUGAGGUAACGGCUCACCAAGGCAACGAUACAUAGCCGACCUGAGAGGGUGAUCGGCCACACUGGGACUGAGACACGGCCCAGACUCCUACGGGAGGCAGCAGUAGGGAAUCUUCGGCAAUGGACGGAAGUCUGACCGAGCAACGCCGCGUGAGUGAAGAAGGUUUUCGGAUCGUAAAGCUCUGUUGUAAGAGAAGAACGAGUGUGAGAGUGGAAAGUUCACACUGUGACGGUAUCUUAACAGAAAGGGACGGCUAACUACGUG
RNAcentral lists this ribosomal RNA (495 nucleotides) under uncultured bacterium. RNAcentral's name for it is "partial 16S ribosomal RNA". It matches the Rfam family "Bacterial small subunit ribosomal RNA", at positions 28 to 507 of the family's 1533-position model. The record is from RNAcentral.